GCCCGCAUAGUUUAACGGUCAGAACAUAGGUCUCAUAUUCUCAUCGAUAUGACUCCUGCAUAGCACGGGCUAUCCUAAGAUCUGAGUUCGAUUCUCAGUGCAGGCA
This is a non-coding RNA of Peltaster fructicola, 106 nucleotides long. The record is from the annotation of a GenBank genome assembly. NCBI's taxonomy places the organism in Eukaryota, Fungi, Ascomycota, Dothideomycetes.